UGGUUGGUGCUCCUGCGCCGGAGGAGUUCUGCGUCUCGGGGUGGUGACUGGGUCCAGAAUGGCUUCGGAUUCGGGGAACCAGGGGACCCUCUGCACGGUGUCCCGGAUGUGGAGGUGCACUUGGAGGACCAGAUGGUCUUGGUACACACCACUCUGCCCAGCCAGGAGGUGCAGGCUCUCCUGGAAGGCACGGGGCGGCAGGCGGUACUCAAGGGCAUGGGCAGCGGCCAGUUGCGUGAGUGACCACUGUGGCCUUGGCCCCUCUGGGAGGGAGGUGGCUCAGAGCUGGUACAAAUCUAAUCAUAGGAUUCUCGGGCUCUGGGUUGGAGUGGCUUUGAGGAAGGUGUGAAAAUUAUGUGAGACUCCCUGCCCUUCCCGAGCUGCUGAAGAGGUGUGCUGGGUGAGGUGGCAAGCCAGCCCAAGUGUCUAAUACCUUGCAGAAAAUCUGGGGGCAGCAGUGGCCAUCCUGGGGGGGUCUGGCACCGUGCAGGGGGUGGUGCGCUUCCUGCAGCUGACCCCUGAGCGCUGCCUCAUCGAGGGAACUAUUGAUGGCCUGGAGCCUGGGCUGCAUGGACUCCACGUCCAUCAGUACG
RNAcentral lists this small RNA (593 nucleotides) under Pan troglodytes (chimpanzee). RNAcentral's name for it is "retained intron". Lineage: Eukaryota; Metazoa; Chordata; Mammalia; Primates; Hominidae. The record is from RNAcentral.